This is an RNA transcript of Anopheles moucheti, 2078 nucleotides long. It is a transcript of the gene named protein catecholamines up, with no coding region annotated. The record is from RefSeq and is a predicted model, not a curated record. NCBI's taxonomy places the organism in Eukaryota, Metazoa, Arthropoda, Insecta, Diptera, Culicidae. The transcript has 3 exons.
CUGUGAAUCCAUGUUUGAAGAAUAUAUAAUCCCGACACUAUUUUAUCCUUUGUGCAAAUACGCCUCGCACCAUACAAAUCGCGUCGUAGCUGCAAGUGUGUCGUGUGCGCGUGAUGUGCUCGGUGUUUCAGAAGUAGUAAUGCAGUAAUUUGUCUAGACUGCAGUACAGCAGAUCGAUCUAUAUCAUCAUUAUCAAGCGGGCAAGCGGUCUCGGAUACAUCGUACCGGACACGUACGCAACAAACUAGAAUAAAAGUAAAAAAAAAAACAAAAUGAAACACACAGAAAACCGGAGGUCUUCUGCCUCGAAAGUGAAGGUUCCGCUGAAGGAAGAAUCCACGUCAUACCGGGUGCACAUUGCGCUGGGUCUAUUUCUUGUGAUAAUGUUCCUGUCUUUCCCGACGCUUUGUGGUGCUCACGGGCAGCACGGCCACGAUCAUGAUCAUCUCCAUGAGAACGAUCAUCUUCAUCACCAUCACGAAAGUCCCAGUUUUAAGUAUUCCCAACAAGCGAACGAGAUGUACGAAGAAGAACCGGUAGCAGUUCCACAUCACCAUCAUCAUCAUGGUGGAGAUGAGGACCAUGAUCAUCACCACCAUCAUCACCAUCAUGAUGGCGGUCAUCAUCAUCAUCAUCAUCAUCAUCACCAGGAAAAGCCAACCAGCGAUAGUAAAGCUCCUAGAGAUACCUUCUACAUCUGGGUGCAUUCCCUCGGCUCAACGUUGCUGAUUAGUGCCGCGCCGUUUUUCAUUCUGUUUGCCAUACCGCUCGAUAAUACGGAAGAGAUGCAGCCACGGUUGAAAACGUUGCUUGCUUUCGCUUCCGGUGGAUUGCUGGGGGAUGCUUUUUUGCAUUUGAUUCCUCACGCCAUUCAGCCUCAUUCCCACGCGGAUGGUCACACGCACGGUCACAGCCAUGGGCAUUCUCAUAAUCACGGAGAGGAAGGCGAUCACGAAAGCCACGGGCACGACAUGCGUGUGGGGCUGUGGGUUUUGGCGGGCAUCAUAGUGUUCCUGGCAGUGGAAAAGUUCGUUCGUUUGGUUAAGAAAGACACUGGCCACGGACAUGGCCAUGGUCAUAGUCACGGUGGUUCGAAACCGGUCGCACCAGAACAAAGUAAAACCACUUCCAAGAGCUCACCACCACCUUCUCCAUCCGAGAACAAGAAGGACAAGAAGGAAAAGAAACAAACGGAAGGAACGAAAUCGAAAAAGGAGGAAGCGAAGGCAAAGGGCAAAGCUGUCCGUAAAGAACCGAAAAAAGAAGCGGACAUUAAGAUUGCCGGGUAUCUUAAUCUGGCGGCAGAUUUCACGCACAACUUCACCGACGGACUGGCGAUCGGUGCGUCCUAUUUGGCGGGUAACAGUAUCGGUUUGAUCACGACGAUUACCAUUCUGUUGCAUGAAGUACCGCACGAAAUCGGUGACUUUGCGAUCCUCAUCAAGUCGGGUUGCUCCAAGAAGAAAGCCAUGCUCUUGCAGCUAACCACGGCCGUGGGUGCGCUGGCUGGUACCGUUCUUGCUCUGCUGGGCAGUGGGAGUGAUGCGGCCGAAUCGUGGGUGCUACCGUUUACGGCCGGUGGCUUUAUUUACAUUGCCACCGUGUCGGUGAUACCGGAGCUGCUGGAAGAGUCCACCAAGCUGUGGCAAUCGCUGAAGGAAAUUACGGCCAUGCUGGCCGGCGUCGGCAUGAUGGUAAUUAUUGCAAAGUUUGAAUAGAGGGAUUAGAUAGAGAAGUAUACCUUGGAUGAUGGAUUGGGUCGGAGUGUCCAGUGGCUGCCGUCUUUCUUCCUGUUGUACCUUCGUCAACUGUACACUUCUAUUACGGAUCAUGUCUGAAGGUAAUAGAACACACAAUAGAACAAAGAUGAUUGUGCGCUCUGUUCAAAGUACAGUGUGAAACCAUUUUAAGUUUUUGUGAAUGCAGGAAAAAAAUGAAGCUGAGCUUUUGUGAUUGUUUUUCUUUAUUUGCACUUUUGCAGCUUCCUUACAAAAGUACACAUUUAAUGUUAUCGCGUAAAGAUUGUUGAAGAUUUGUAAUAUUUGAAUUUGUAUAAUAAAAUAAUUUUAACAUGGAUG